AUGCUGCAAGUACGCCAUCGCUCCGCUUGAAUCAGUAGCAGUGUUUAAAAUGAGGAGGUGCCAGUUCUUCAGGGCGUCAUACCACGAACCGGGUUCGAUCCUUAAUCUCGGACGUCAGUGGCAACUACAGGUGAUGUCAUGCGUCUGAGUCGGGCUACUGGGAUUGUAUCGAGAAAGCACACCGUGCAUAAGUGAAAAUGUGGCAAUUUCGCUUUUUCCUGUGUGCAAAGAACCAGCAGACGUGCCCGCACUUGUGUUACUAACCAUGCUUUCCUUUGUCCAUGCAACGUUACUGAUAACAGUCGCAAGAUUCACACUGCGUUAUUCGUAUUGAUUCUGUGCAGGAACUCCCUCUGUCCCGCUCCCGCUGCCCAUAAAUGUGUCUUGAUCUACCAACAACCUGAAACUUGAUUUCCAGCAAACGCUGACGUGAGUCGCAAUCCCAUGUCUGCUUCCUCUUGUACGAUAUUUAGGGCGUUGUGUUCAUUUCUGACAGACUGUAGGCAUUAGGUCAGGCAUUUCCAAUUCAGUCCAGAGUGGUCAUUUAAACGAGAGUGUCAAACGCAGCGGUGAGUCACUCGCAAGAGAGCAAGACUGUCGGAGGACAGAGGGUGAUCACAGGGGGAGUUCGUUAUUCUUUUUUGGCAAGCGCGUUAGUUCGAGGAGUAUUUGUGUUGGAACCCUGUGCGUCGUGAGGCGACGCAGCAACACAGUUCAGGAAAUGUUAAGCAUGGUAUUGAUGUCCCACAUCGUGCUACGUUCACUCUGAGGCUGACGACAAGUCCCAUCAGUAGAAAUGAAGCGGUGUUGCAAGGGGCGACGGUUGCGCAAUGCACGGCAAUAUUCAUCGGCGGUAGGGAUUAGGCAGCAAGUUGAAAUGUCUUUGAAUUGAAAAGUCAUUUCACACGUCAGAUGAGGCGUAAUUAUCAGGGAAGCCUGGCGGGUUGAACCCAGUCUCUCAUAAGGGUGGAUAUGCUCACGAUGUGGCUCCUUCUGCGUCUUUGGCUUAAUCGGGUCUAGAUGAUGUUG
This 1029-nucleotide long non-coding RNA is filed under the name Toxoplasma gondii VEG. Lineage: Eukaryota; Apicomplexa; Conoidasida; Eucoccidiorida; Sarcocystidae. The record is from RNAcentral.